Molecule: ribosomal RNA, 207 nt
Filed under: uncultured bacterium
Lineage: Bacteria
Description: partial 16S ribosomal RNA
Rfam family: Bacterial small subunit ribosomal RNA
Source: RNAcentral
CACGCAGGUGGUCGUGCAAGUGAGGUGUGAAAGCUCUCGGCUUAACUGAGAGAGGCCAUCUCAGACUGCACAACUGGAGGGCGGCAGAGGUCGGUGGAAUUGCCGGUGUAGUGGUGAAAUGCGUAGAGAUCGGCAGGAACACCCAGGGGGAAACCAGCCGACUGGGCCGCACCUGACACUCAAGUGCGAAAGCGUGGGGAGUGAACU